RNAcentral lists this ribosomal RNA (504 nucleotides) under uncultured bacterium. Its description in RNAcentral is "bacterial SSU rRNA". It matches the Rfam family "Bacterial small subunit ribosomal RNA", at positions 15 to 507 of the family's 1533-position model. The record is from RNAcentral.
GAUCCUGGCUCAGGAUGAACGCUAGCUACAGGCUUAACACAUGCAAGUCGAGGGGAAACGAUAGAGAAAGCUUGCUUUUUCUAGGCGUCGACCGGCGCACGGGUGAGUAACGCGUAUCCAACCUGCCCAUCACUUGGGGAUAACCUUGCGAAAGUAAGACUAAUACCCAAUGACGUCUCUAGAAGACAUCUGAAAGAGAUUAAAGAUUUAUCGGUGAUGGAUGGGGAUGCGUCUGAUUAGCUUGUUGGCGGGUAACGGCCCACCAAGGCGACGAUCAGUAGGGGUUCUGAGAGGAAGGUCCCCCACAUUGGAACUGAGACACGGUCCAAACUCCUACGGGAGGCAGCAGUGAGGAAUAUUGGUCAAUGGACGAGAGUCUGAACCAGCCAAGUAGCGUGCAGGAUGACGGCCCUAUGGGUUGUAAACUGCUUUUAUAAGGGAAUAAAGUGAGUCUCGUGAGACUUUUUGCAUGUACCUUAUGAAUAAGGACCGGCUAAUUCCGUG